AAGUCGUAACAAGGUCUCCGUAGGUGAACCUGCGGAGGGAUCAUUACACAAUAUGAAGGCGGGCUGGACACCCCCCUGCUGGGCACUGCUUCACGGCGUGCGCGGCUGGGGCCGGCCCUGCUGAAUUAUUCACCCGUGUCUUUUGCGUACUUCUUGUUUCCUGGGUGGGCUCGCCCGCCAUCAGGACCAACCAUAAACCUUUUGCAAUAGCAAUCAGCGUCAGUAACAACGUAAUUAAUUACAACUUUCAACAACGGAUCUCUUGGUUCUG
This 271-nucleotide unclassified non-coding RNA is filed under the name air metagenome. RNAcentral describes it as "partial contains small subunit ribosomal RNA, internal transcribed spacer 1, and 5.8S ribosomal RNA". The stretch from base 1 to 46 matches the Rfam family "Eukaryotic small subunit ribosomal RNA", at positions 1786 to 1831 of the family's 1831-position model. The record is from RNAcentral.